AGCCGCGGGAACACCGGCGGCCCGAGUGGUGAUCGUGAUUAUUGGGUCUAAAGGGUCCGUAGCCGGUUUGGUCAGUCCUCCGGGAAAUCUGAUAGCUCAACUAUUAGGGCUUUCGGGGGAUACUGCCAGACUUGGAACCGGGAGAGGUAAGAGGUACUACAGGGGUAGGAGUGAAAUCUUGUAAUCCCUGUGGGACCACCUGUGGCGAAGGCGUCUUACCAGAACGGGUUCGACGGUGAGGGACGAAAGCUGGGGGCACGAACCGGAUUAGAUACCCGGGUAGUCCCAGCCGUAAACGAUGCUCGCUAGGUGUCAGGCAUGGCGCGACCGUGUCUGGUGCCGCAGGGAAGCCGUGAAGCGAGCCACCUGGGAAGUACGGCCGCAAGGCUGAAACUUAAAGGAAUUGGCGGGGGAGCACAACAACGGGUGGAGCCCUGCGGUUUAAUUGGACUCAACGCCGGACAACUCACCGGGGGCGACAGCAAUAUGUAGGCCAAGCUGAAGACUUUGCCUGAAUCGCUGAGAAGAGGUGCAUGG
This 537-nucleotide ribosomal RNA is filed under the name uncultured archaeon. RNAcentral describes it as "bacterial SSU rRNA". It matches the Rfam family "Archaeal small subunit ribosomal RNA", at positions 463 to 997 of the family's 1478-position model. The record is from RNAcentral.